This 349-nucleotide small RNA is filed under the name Bos taurus (domestic cattle). The record is from RNAcentral. Lineage: Eukaryota; Metazoa; Chordata; Mammalia; Artiodactyla; Bovidae.
AGCGGAAUUCGUGAGACCUUUUUUUUUUUUUCAAGAAUGCAGGAGAAAGCAAGCCAGUAGCCUCCCUGCCUGCUUUUAAUGUUUCAACUCAGAGAGCUUCAGAGUGACCUGAAACCAUGAUUGCCCUGAAGUCACCACCCGCAAUCAGGGUCAGCUAAUCCCCAGGAGAACUCUCUCUCCACAGCAACAUGUCAGCCCAUGAAUGAAAGGAGAAAAACGGAAGGCAAGAAAGACACAACUUUGUUCCUUAUUGUAAAAAUGUCUGUCACCUUACCUCAGGGGCACAUUGAAAACCUGAGUGCCCUUCCCAGGCAGGAGAAGGUCACAUCCUGGGGUCGGGCAGAGGGAA